Molecule: ribosomal RNA, 454 nt
Filed under: uncultured bacterium
Lineage: Bacteria
Description: bacterial SSU rRNA
Rfam family: Bacterial small subunit ribosomal RNA
Source: RNAcentral
CCCUUAGAGUUUGAUCCUGGCUCAGAGCGAACGCUGGCGGCAGGCCUAACACAUGCAAGUCGAACGAACUCUUCGGAGUUAGUGGCGGACGGGUGAGUAACACGUGGGAACGUGCCUUUAGGUUCGGAAUAACUCAGGGAAACUUGUGCUAAUACCGAAUGUGCCCUUCGGGGGAAAGAUUUAUCGCCUUUAGAGCGGCCCGCGUCUGAUUAGCUAGUUGGUGAGGUAAAGGCUCACCAAGGCGACGAUCAGUAGCUGGUCUGAGAGGAUGAUCAGCCACAUUGGGACUGAGACACGGCCCAAACUCCUACGGGAGGCAGCAGUGGGGAAUCUUGCGCAAUGGGCGAAAGCCUGACGCAGCCAUGCCGCGUGAAUGAUGAAGGUCUUAGGAUUGUAAAAUUCUUUCAGUAGGGACGAUAAUGACGGUACCUACAGAAGAAGCCCCGGCUACUCU